This 540-nucleotide ribosomal RNA is filed under the name uncultured Bacteroidota bacterium. Its description in RNAcentral is "bacterial SSU rRNA". It matches the Rfam family "Bacterial small subunit ribosomal RNA", at positions 371 to 913 of the family's 1533-position model. The record is from RNAcentral. Lineage: Bacteria; Pseudomonadati; Bacteroidota.
AUGGGCGCAAGCCUGAUCCAGCCAUGCCGCGUGCAGGAWGACGGUCCUAUGGAUUGUAAACUGCUUUUAUACAGGAAGAAACCCUCCCACGUGUGGGAGAUUGACGGUACUGUAGGAAUAAGGAUCGGCUAACUCCGUGCCAGCAGCCGCGGUAAUACGGAGGAUCCAAGCGUUAUCCGGAAUCAUUGGGUUUAAAGGGUCCGUAGGCGGUCUUAUAAGUCAGUGGUGAAAUCCCAUCGCUCAACGAUGGAACUGCCAUUGAUACUGUAAGACUUGAAUUAUUAGGAAGUAACUAGAAUAUGUAGUGUAGCGGUGAAAUGCUUAGAUAUUACAUGGAAUACCAAUUGCGAAGGCAGGUUACUACUAAGUGAUUGACGCUGAUGGACGAAAGCGUGGGGAGCGAACAGGAUUAGAUACCCUGGUAGUCCACGCCGUAAACGAUGGAUACUAGCUGUUCGGAGCAAUCUGAGUGGCUAAGCGAAAGUGAUAAGUAUCCCACCUGGGGAGUACGCACGCAAGUGUGAAACUCAAAUGAAUUGA